CUUCCUCUCUAUCCCCAAUUCGCUGCCAACUCCUCCCCAAUCCCGCCGCUUAGGAAAAAAUCCUCAUCUUUGGCGUCUACUUGCUCCCUCCAAGUUGGUCUCCUCCUCUCCUUCCCUCGCCGCCGUGUUGUGCCCCGAGGCACCACGCUACCCUCCGGCUGCGCGUCCAAUCGCCCGAGGAACUUGUGCUGCUUCCUCUCGCGACGCCGCCGGACGAGACCACCAGCGCAACACAGUGCACAGGCGGUGUGGCGCGGCCGAGGACGCCGUUUUCGAGCGCAUGCAGCGGGAGAUGUGAGCUUGAAGAGGUGGUUCCCCGGGGAACACAGCGGCGCAUCGCGCCAUCGCCGAUCUGCGCCAUAGGAUCUUCGCGGUGACGCGGAGGCGGCGAUGGCGAGAUGCUUGGCCUUGCGGGAGAGGGAUUCGUGGCUGAACCCAAAGUCGGCAACACCCUCCACCGAGCGGAACACGUCGUCUAGCUCCAGCACGCGAAGAUGUGCUCCCUGUAGGCACCAGGCGAUGGGGAGAGCAAACUGCAUGUCGAGGUGAGCUGCGCUCGCGCGUCCUGCCACCAUGCAUGCAGCAGGCCGAUAGACUUUGUUCAAAAAUACUGCAGGUCUCCUGCUAGCCUCCAUGACCUUCAACUUUGUGUAAGUCAUAGUUUCAGAAAACCACCGUCAAUUUGCAGGGGAUGGUUUGACAUCUGGAGUUGCCGAUUUGAUGCAUUUUCCGUCCAGUUUAUACAAGAACCUGGGAUUUUUAUUCUGAAUUUGCUAUCCGGGAUCACAAGUGUCAAAUCUAUGUGUGGUUCAGGAAAUCACUCGAAUAUAAUAGCAAAUGUCUACACUCUACACUGAAGCUUUUAUACAUGUUGAUGAUUUUGAUGUGGGUCUUUGAAUGGUUAGAUUUACUUAGCCUUUUUUAGUGUAGAACAACAGUUUCAAUGCCAUUCUUUGUUGAUAAAAAAAAAUUACCUGAUUUUUCUAGAUUCUAAUGUCAGGAUUUCUAUGCUAGGAAAAAUAGCCUUCAAUACAAUUCAGUAUAAGUUUAUGCACUAUUUGUUGGUUGCCGCAGCAAAUAAGAAGGUUCACACCAUUCAAGUUAAGUUGAGAACAGAUAAAACAUGUGCUCCUUUUCUCAUUAUCUGAGUAGCUGAAGAAGUUGAGAAGCUUGAACUUGCUCCUUUCUCAUUAUCUUCCAGUUUGUAUUAUAUGUGACCUGAAUUAUUUAUGCACAAAAUGGAUUAUGAUAAAUUUUACUACAUGGGUGCAUACAUAGAUUUGUUGGUUCCUUUGAUGUAUAUAUCACUGAUUUUUUAUUCUUCCUUGAUACACAUGUUACAAAGUUAUUUCCAUGUGUUUUCUAGACAACAUGUUCUGGGAGUGGUUCAUAUAUGUAUGACAUCCACUCAUGUGUUACUGGCAGGUUACAGAUUGCUGAACUUUUCUGAUUUCUUCCUUCUGCUUGGUUGAAGCAGAGAUACAAGUAACCUCAGGAUUAUGGUUCAGUGUAUUGGUUUUGAGAAUGGACAUAUUAACAGAUACAAACAACUGGCCAAUAACCUGAAUAUACAUAGUGGGUGUGAACUUCUAAUUCACAACAACAACAAAUUGCAAAUUUAGACUAUCCUAAAAACUGAGCAAGAUUCUCUUCAUGUUUGCGGGACCUUCAGGACGGCGGUAGCAGCAUGACUGAACCAAAAAGCUCAAGAAGGCUGACAAGAAUUGCCAGAGGUACUGGACGGCACGGCUGGUGUCAUCUUGGAAAUACCUUUUGUAAUCAUUGGUCUACUUGAGUGUGAUCAUCCAGCAUCAGGUGUCAGGAAAUAUCAAAUACAUAAGGAGGGCAAAACAUGGACCUAACAGCUGGAAGUCUUUACAGAGGGCAACCAUAGAUAAAAGCUACGGAGCCGUUUUGGAAUACUCCUUCUGUGAAGAUUGAAUAUUCUCCUUGGAUAUUACUUUGCCACAUUAUAUCUAACAAGCAGUUUGCAUAGUUGUUAGGCUUUAUUGACAUGUAUUAGAAGAUAGUGUCUCUGAGGUUUGAUGGUAGAUAUUUAGUGUUUCUUCACAAAAUCUUAUAAGUUCAAAUUCAGUUCGGUGGGGCAUUUGCAUAAUGGGAUUAAGGAGGAGUAUAUAAUAGGAUCAAGAAAUUGAUCGUGUGCCUUGA
Molecule: long non-coding RNA, 2169 nt
Organism: Lolium rigidum
Lineage: Eukaryota; Viridiplantae; Streptophyta; Magnoliopsida; Poales; Poaceae
Exons: 2
Source: RefSeq, a predicted model, not a curated record